AUUGAACGCUGGCGGCAGGCCUAACACAUGCAAGUCGAGCGGAUGAAGGGAGCUUGCUCCUGGAUUCAGCGGCGGACGGGUGAGUAAUGCCUAGGAAUCUGCCUGGUAGUGGGGGAUAACGUCCGGAAACGGGCGCUAAUACCGCAUACGUCCUGAGGGAGAAAGUGGGGGAUCUUCGGACCUCACGCUAUCAGAUGAGCCUAGGUCGGAUUAGCUAGUUGGUGGGGUAAAGGCCUACCAAGGCGACGAUCCGUAACUGGUCUGAGAGGAUGAUCAGUCACACGGGAAUGGAGACAGGGUCCGAACCCCAGGGGGGGGCAGCGGGGGGGAUUAUUGAAGAAGGGGCAAAGGCUGGACCGACCAAGGCGGGGGGUGGAAAGAGGGUUUUGGAAUUUAAAACCUUUUAAGGUGGGGAGAAGGGGAAGAAAUUUAAUCCCUUGUUGUUUGGAGUUACCAAAAAAAAAAGCACCGGGCAAACUUCGUC
This 484-nucleotide ribosomal RNA is filed under the name uncultured bacterium. RNAcentral describes it as "partial 16S ribosomal RNA". It matches the Rfam family "Bacterial small subunit ribosomal RNA", at positions 29 to 507 of the family's 1533-position model. The record is from RNAcentral.